This is a non-coding RNA of Chlorocebus sabaeus (green monkey), 1805 nucleotides long. Lineage: Eukaryota; Metazoa; Chordata; Mammalia; Primates; Cercopithecidae. The record is from RefSeq and is a predicted model, not a curated record.
AGCUGAGAUCGUGCCACUGCACCCCAGCCUGGGUGAGAGAACAAGACUCCAUCUCAAAGAAAACAAAACAAAACAACAACAACAACAAAAACCCACAGUGAUUGUGGUUGGUCUACUAGGUAUCAAGACUUCUUAUAUAAUGUAGAAAUUGCAAAGUAGUGAACCAAGGAAAGCAUGAUUGAUUAUAUUAAAUCCAGAUUUGAGAGUUCAUUCUUCCAGAAAAUAUUUAUAGUCUAUCUACUAUAUUCUAAGCACUGUACCUAGCAGUUAGGGAUCCAGUUUUUAAAUUCUACGUUUUAGAGUUAAUGCACAUUCUGUAGUGAACGGGUACAUUCGUUUGUCACUGUCUGCAUUGUCCUUUGUAUAGAGCAAAUCAAAACUCCGAUUUGGUGAUCCUGACUUUUAUAUUUUCCCUGAUUUUAGAAGAGUUUUUAUACCCCCCACCCGCAAUCCCCAGAGUAAAAGUUCAUCUGGAUUACUGGGUCUUGCUUAGGUAAUUUUAACCACUGCUUGCUGCUACUGCAGUCUAUCAUGUAGGCCACUGCUCUCCUAAAACAACUCAAAUCCUGUCACUUCAGACACCUUCUGUGGCAUCCUGCCUUCCACAGUCAGCUCCAGCCUGUGCCCCAGCCUCACCUUCAGUCAAUCUCACCUCACACUUGCCUCGGUAGCUGUUCCGUUCCCACCCCUGGGGCUUUGCUUAUGCUUUCGCCUUGAUUCUGGAAGCCCUCAAGCACUCACCCUUUCCCUUUAUCUACCUGUAGAAAUCCCACUUCUUUCUGUGUUCACUCAGCUCAGUUGGGAAGCAUUUGCAGUGGUUUCAUUUUGCUUUGUAUUACAUAUUUCACCCUGCUGGUUCCAGAUUCUAAGCACAGGUUUUACAUGUAUGUUCUUAGCAAACAUAUAAACGGAGAGAUCCAGUUGAUCAAAAUAGCUGUAAAACAAUGCGGAACGGAGAGAUUGUCUCCCCAGAACAUUUUCUUUGAGAUCUCUGCCUUCAUGAACACAAGGGUGCAGGAUAUCAGACAUGUGAAUGCACAGGGCCACGAUUCUUAAUUAAAUGACUCCAUGAGAGAAAAAUGAGAAGAGUUCAACAUUGGACUGGAUAGCCAAAGACCUUGAGAUGGAAAAGAGUGAGGAUAUAAAGAAUGGCAAACCCACUAAGGAAAGAGGUGAAAAGUGAGGCAAGGGAGGUGCCCAGGGCUUAGCCGUUAGAACUAGUUGUGCUCAGAAGCCAUUAAAGAGAUUCCAGCAGGAGAGGACCCACGGUCCAGUCCAUUUUUCAAAGAAGUAAGGUAACCUACUUUCAUGUUAUAUAGCUAGUCAGUAGGAAGACUUAGAUUCAGCUUGUAGUUUUUUAAAGACACAUAACUGAUUCAGAAAAUUAGAUAAGUUAAAUUUUUAGAUCUGCUCAGAAAUAUCAAAAGUAUAUCAUAUAAAUAUAUCUCCCAUUAUGUAUUUUGGUAAUCUCUUUGGCUGGUUCAGCCUUCUGCAAACUGAGCUGUUGAUCUUGCAAGAUCAUUCUCAUGCCGAGCUAUUUCAUUUUUUUUCCCAGCAACUCAUAAAAUUAUUUUCUCCUUUUUUUUAAAUUUUAGGUUGAAUGCAAUUCCCGCCUGAACCCUGUAAACGCAACUUUGCUAAAGAUGGCAGACUGUGGGGGACUGCCCCAGGUAGUUCAGCCUGGGAAGCUCACCGAGGCCUUCAAGUACUUUUUGCAGGGAAUGGGCUACAGUGAGUAGUAUACAACUUUCUAUCUAGCAACAAUUUAGGAUUAUUGGGGGCCAGUUUCACAUCUGGGAGCCCAC